GGCUUGUUGAGUAUAAUUUCAAGUCUGACCUGCCCACUGAAGUUUAAAUGGCCGCGGUAUUAUGACCGUGCAAAGGUAGCAUAAUCAUUAGUUUUUUAAUUGAAAGCUUGUAUGAAAGGUUUGAUGAGAAAAUAUCUGUCUCUAGAGGAAUUAAAUGGAAUUUUAUUUUUUAGUUAAAAAGCUGAGAUAUUCAUAGUAGACGAGAAGACCCUAUAGAGUUUUAUAGUUAGAUUUAUAAUUGUUGAUGUGGUAAUUAAGUAUUAAUUAUUUUUGUAAUUAUUUUGUUGGGGUGAUAGGAAAAUUAAUUGAACUUUUCUUUAAUUUAAAUAUUUAUUUGUAAGUAUAUGAUCCUAGAAUAGAUUAUAAAAUUAAACUACCUUAGGGAUAACAGCGUAAUUAUUUAAAGAGUUCUUAUCGAAUAAAUAGAUUGCGACCUCGAUGUUGGAUUAAAAUUGAUUGUUGGUGUAGGUGCUAGCAAGUUAGGUCUGUUCGACCUAUAAAAUUUUACAUGAUCUGAGUUUAAACCGGUGUAAG
Molecule: ribosomal RNA, 534 nt
Filed under: Trigonopterus ovatulus
Lineage: Eukaryota; Metazoa; Arthropoda; Insecta; Coleoptera; Curculionidae
Description: partial large subunit ribosomal RNA
Rfam family: Bacterial large subunit ribosomal RNA
Source: RNAcentral